This 253-nucleotide ribosomal RNA is filed under the name uncultured bacterium. Its description in RNAcentral is "partial 16S ribosomal RNA". It matches the Rfam family "Bacterial small subunit ribosomal RNA", at positions 524 to 776 of the family's 1533-position model. The record is from RNAcentral.
UACGUAGGUGACAAGCGUUGUCCGGAUUUACUGGGCGUAAAGAGCGCGUAGGCGGUCGUUUAAGUCGAGGGUGAAAGCCCCCGGCUCAACUGGGGAGGGUCAUUCGAUACUGAUCGACUCGAAGGCAGGAGAGGGUAGUGGAAUUCCCGGUGUAGUGGUGAAAUGCGUAGAUAUCGGGAGGAACACCAGUGGCGAAGGCGACUACCUGGCCUGUUCUUGACGCUGAGGCGCGAAAGCUAGGGGAGCAAACGGG